AUGGUAACAGACACUACAUUUCCAGUAGUUGUUUCAGCAGUAACUGCAACAGUUGAAACACCUGUUAUGAUCCCAGUAGUAGAAAGUCCAGUAGUAAAGCCAGCUCCAUUUGCAGUGGUUGAGACACCAGUUUUGACUCCAGUGACACAGACACCAUGUCAGGUUUUAGUGGCAGUACCAGAAGCUACUCCUCCAGUAGUUGUUUCAGCAGUGACUGCAGCAGCAGAAACACCUGUUGUGAUCCCAGUAGUGGAAACUCCAACUCCAGUUGUAGUGGCAGAGACACCAGUUGUAACACCAGUGAUGAUGACACCAACUGUGACUCCAGUAGCGGAAAGGUCAGUUGUGAGCCUAGUACUAGAAACUACCACAGAAGCACCAACUGCAAUUGCAAUGGCAGAGAGACCUGUUAUGAUCCCAGUGGUACAGACACCAGCUCUAGUUUCAGGGAUUGCAAAAGAGGCUGCACCUCCAGUAGUUCUACCAGCAAUGACUGCAGGAGUAGAAGUAAAGCCACCAGUGGCAGAGACACCAUUUUCAUUACCAGAAGUGCCUGCUGCGAUCCCAGCAGUGCAAACACCAGUUACAGAGCAGGUAGCACAGACACCGACGACACCAGCCAUGCUCUUGGUAAAGGCAACAUCAGUUGUAACUGGGAUGGAGGCACCCACUGUGACUACAUUAGAAAAGGCACGACAGAAGACACCAGUAGAAGAGACACCUACUUUAUCCCCUGUGAUGAUGGCACCAGCUAUUGCCGCAGUUGUAGUAGCAACAGCGCCACCUGUUGCUACACCAGAAGUAAAGAAAGCAAUGUUGCAGGUAGUUGAACAGGAGAAAAAGGAAGCAAAGUCAGAGGCUUCAGUUGUGUCUAAAGAUGUUGAACCACCAUUUGUGGCUGCGAAAGAGGUAAAGACAUCAGUUUUAACUCAAGAGUGUAUAUCAGAUGAAGAAAAUGGGAAGGUUUCCUUGCGGCAUACUUCAACAGAACCUCAGUCAGAGGUAGAGGAGGAUGUGUGGGAGGAUGCUGUAGAUAAUAUUGGAGAUUCCCCGUGUCAGGUGACACACACAGAGGAUGCACCCCAAGAUACUGCUGCUAAACAAAUAUCUGAUGCUGCAAUUUGA
Molecule: long non-coding RNA, 1125 nt
Filed under: Sinocyclocheilus grahami
Lineage: Eukaryota; Metazoa; Chordata; Actinopteri; Cypriniformes; Cyprinidae
Description: lncRNA (ENSSGRG00000048612.1)
Source: RNAcentral